UCCCCUUAUAAUUUCCUCUCUCCCUCCCCUUUUCUCUCGUUCAGACAAGGAGGGAGUAAGUAAAGAGGGUGGAAGUAGCACCGACGAUCGGUACCACAGUCUACACCGAGGGGAUCACCAGUCGCCCCGUGACUCCCGCGCGAGAAACAACUUCCGUCUUCUCUGCUCUCUCUCUCUCUCUGCUCUUUCUCACUGCCGCAAAGUUCGUCGUUUCGGUUUUGUUUUUGGCGCAAAAGUUUCCAUUAAAAAAAACAAAAAAAAAAACUAAAUAAAAACUCGGUGUGGUGAAUUUUGAUUCGCUUCGUUGUUAGACUUUUUACAAAACUUUUUUAAACAACUUUUUGGGGUGUGUGUUGAUCGACGGACUUGGUUUUAUUUUCGGAUGCGCGCCCAAAAGUGUGUUGGCCAUUGACAGCAACAAACACCCCCCUGACGGUUAUUUCCUUCCGGACAUCUCUAUUCUAUAACAGCUUUCUAUUAACAGAUUGAUAUUGUCUUGUUGCCUUUCGGAUCCAUCUGUAGCUGCUAGUCAUCCGGAAUCCGUCGGCUCGGCGGAUGCGUUUACUUUGUGCUGGUUGACUAUUUUGGAGACCAAAUGGUCUUGAAUGGGUUCUGACGCUGCCGUGACCCUCAACCACAAUGAACCAGCCUCUCCUGAUCAGACGGUUGUUUACGAUGUCUUGGCUCCUGGUGGCUUUGGGAUUUCUCCUAGCGGCUUCAUCGGCCUCGGCCUCCAAUCGUGAAAAGCUGGCCGGAUCACACCAGCAACUUGGACGGAUGACUCACCAGCACCACCAACGCAACGGCACUUUGCGAAAUGGCGGCGUGAAACGGGCGGUGGCGGGGCCAACAGAGACGACGGACGUCAAAUCGACGUCGUCCGACGCCCUGUCCAAUUCGCCUCCGUUCGUGGUGGCCGAAGCGGAGCCGUCGCCACACAAGACGAUGAUCGCCGUCCAGACGUCGCUCAACGGCAACAUCUUCAUGCACUGCCCAGUGGACAUGACGGAAGACUUUCAGGUCUCCUGGGUGCGGUUACCCGACUGGCGAAUCGUGGCUUCGGGGCGGAACAUUUAUAACAAGGACGAACGAUUCCGGGUCCUGCACGUCGAAGGCACCGACGAGUGGACGCUGCAGAUCAAGUACGCUGCCCUGGUCGACCAAGGACUCUACGAAUGUCAGGUUUCCACCGAAACGGGGAUCAUGAUUUACUAUUACAACGUCAGUGUCAUCGUGCCGGACACGUCCAUCGUCGGCGGAAGCGAGUACCACGUCGACAUGGGCAGCGCCAUCCAGCUGACUUGCAUCAUCAGAAAUAUUCCUCAGGAGCCGCAGUUUGUCUUCUGGUAUCACAACGACCGGAUGAUCAAUUAUGACUCAAUAACUGACAGCGCCAGUAGCAGCAGUUCGGGGUCGAAGACUUCCAGCGAGGCCGGCAGCAGCUCGUCCAGCGACCGAAACGGGAGCCGGACGAGAGCAAAGACCCGCCCGCGCGUGGAGGUGAUCACGGAAAUUGAAAACAAUUCAAUGACGGACGAUCGCGAGCAGCAGCCAGCCGAAGGUGCAGCAGCAGCAGCGGCAGAUCGAAGUGUCACUAGUCAGUUGACGAUACGCCACGUCACCGAUCUGGACUCUGGCAACUACACUUGCGCCCCGUCCAACGCCGAGCCGGCCAGCACCAUGGUCUACGUCUCCGAAGGAGACGACGCCGCCGCCGCCAUUCAAGUCAGCGUCGGAGAGACGACAAAUGUCAGUGACGUCGUGCCAGCCAAUUCGGCCGUUUCGGCCGCUUCGUCGCCCAUUUCCACAGCAACUGCGGCCGCCUGUACGACGAGUCGAACGUCGCCGUUUGCGCUCCUAUUCCUUUCAUCCUGCCUCCUGGCAUUGGCCAACCGUCAAGUCGACCCAAGGUGAUUUGUCUUUUCUCACGACCGUGGAGAACAGACAGCAAAAAAAUAAAAACACAAAAUGUUUUUCACUCGAAAAUGAAAGGGAAAAAAACAAAAAAAAAUAAAAAUAACAGAUGGGCCUAUCGACUGAAUUUCGUAUCGUGUCAUCAUUUUACUAAUACCUGAUUUCGGUGUGUUUCAUUUUAACGAGAGGAGAAAGAGAACUACAUCCGUUGAAUGCCGAUGCUCCUCUUGAUUGAUUUCAAAGAUAUAUUUAUAAAUAAAAACAAACAAACAAACAGUAUACAUACUAACUACAUACAGUUUUACAAUGGCUAAAUAGUCACUUGAUUCCUGUGGUAUAUACGUGUAAAGUAUUAUUGCGAUGUCAAACAUUAUUGAUAUUUAUUCGAUGUCAAUUUCAACCCUGCGCCCACAACAGUGAAAUUAUAAUCUCCGUGUUUUCAUAUUUGAGUUGGAUUCGAUUGAGACUCUCAGUCUGGCUGAUAUUAUAUUUUAAAUACGGUUGCCAUUGUCAUCCUCUUCGAUUCGUCUAGCUCCAUUUCCAAUCGAUAGGUUUUCCAAGUGGAAAAAUUGUUGAUUCUAUUGAUUGGCUGAGAUUGAUUGACGUGUGUAAAACCCCCCUUUCAUUUAAAAAAAAAAGCUGGUGUUAUAUCAUUUUAAUUUGCUUAUUAUGUCAGCCGAUUAUGUUGUCAAUAAUCCAAUAUGCGAAUUGCAGCUACUGUAAUAGUGUGUGACAUUUGCUUACCCAUCCCUUGAUAAAACUGACACGAGAUGGGUAGACGACAUUUCCUGCACUAUUUACAUCAGUACCUGUGGAAACUGCACGUAAAUGAGACGGUCAGAGAUGAUAAAACUGAUAUUCAUGUGUACAGAGUGAGCGAAAUUUAUUAGCUUUACGAUUAUAUAAAUGGUGAAGUGUGUGCUCGGCGUUCCCGGCAUCCCAGUUUGUCAUCUCCUUAAUUUUCCAAGUCCUGAUCAUACUCAAAAGCAUCUCAUCACACAGCGCGUGUAUAUCUUCUCGAAACUGUGUAUAUAUGCCGCGUGGUGAUUGUGUCAAGAGAGAGGAGCAACAGCCAAUACAUUCUGACAUUUAAAAGGAAAAAAAAAUCUGUUGACGACGACACAAAGAAAGCCAGCAAGCUUCUGAGAAAGACAACGGCUUGUCUUUAGUGACCCAGGCCGUUUCCAUUGUUAGAUUAAGACCCACCGAGAGCUCUGCAAGGGAGAUCCGACACGAUAACAACGACCACAUUGCUACUACUACCCUACUACAAGAUUGGGAAUUCACGCUCUACUCGAAAGUGCCAUGACCGCGUUUGAUUUAUCCGAAGUCCGAACAAGCUUCACUGGCAUCGCUGCUCUAGACGCGUCCGGGCACGUCUGAACAUGCCGAAUUUCGUACAGUCACGUCUGGUACCAAAUAGCGUGAGUUUUUCCCGACGUAUCAGCAGUGUUCCUCGAGCGCUCUGACUCACCACUUCAGCCACUAUCGUCCAGAAUCUCUUCCGGCCACUCCCUCCGAUGCUCUCAUAUUUGUCAAGAACGAUCACGGCACCUGAAUUCUCAUUUGCAUAUAAUAUAUAGGUCAAGAACGAUCACGGCACCUGAAUUCUCAUUUGCAGUGGAUUCUCCGUCUCAUAUUCUAACGCAGUCUGUUCUCUACUCUUCUGCACACAUUUAAAGGAAAAUCAGAAAAAAAUUGGACUAUUUUGUGAAAAUCUGACAUGAAUUUUUCAGGAUUUAUAUUUGAUUCUCACGGCAAUGUUGUUACAUACAUUGAUGGAGCUUGUCCGUUUAAUGGCUAUCCGCAUGCUAAGGGAGGGAUAGGUGUAUGGUUCGGCGACGAUCAUCCCUUAAACGUGAGCGAGCCAUUGGAUCGCGAAGGAUUUCCUCCCACCAACCAGGUGGCGGAAAUUAAAGCAGCAAUCAGAGCUUGUCAAAUCUUAAAAGAUUUUGGCGUUAGACGGGUGUCAUUUUACACAGAUUCGCAGUAUCUAAUUGAUUCGAUGACCAACUGGAUCAACAAAUGGAUGAAAAACGGCUGGUUAAAAUCUGACGGAACACCGCUAAAGCAUAAGCAUUAUUACCAGGAGCUGCUUAAUUUAAUAGAUAAUUUUAAAGUUUACUGGGUACACGUUCCAUCGGCGGAGAACAAAGCCGACCGUUUGGCAAAGAAAGGCGCCGAAAAAUAUUGAAGAAUAACUCUCUCUGAGCUGGCUCUUAUUUUGUUUCUCUCAAAUCUCAAAGAAUGCCAUGCUAGACAUGCAAAAAUUCAAUAAAUAAACUCAAUGGUUUACAUUUACAAGUUUAGUUUUUUUUUCUGUAUCCCUCCCCCUGUCUUACGUUCGCCAAUUUCUCAUUGGCCAAUUAUUUUUUUCAUUGGAUUAGUAUUGGCGAAAGCGUUUGUAUAAUAUAUGGUGUUUUCUUCUUUACUCGUUAAUAAAUUCAAAAAUAGUGUUUAGUU
RNA transcript from Daphnia pulicaria, 4377 nucleotides. RefSeq lists it as uncharacterized. The transcript is spliced from 16 exons. The record is from RefSeq and is a predicted model, not a curated record. NCBI's taxonomy places the organism in Eukaryota, Metazoa, Arthropoda, Branchiopoda, Diplostraca, Daphniidae.